AAUAUUGCACAAUGGAGGAAACUCUGAUGCAGCGACGCCGCGUGAACGAUGAAGGNUUNNGGGUCNUNAAGUUCUGUCCUAGGNNNNNAUAAUGACGGUACCCUAGGAGGAAGCCCCGGCUAACUACGUGCCAGCAGCCGCGGUAAUACGUAGGGGGCGAGCGUUGUCCGGAAUUAUUGGGCGUAAAGGGUUCGCAGGCGGUCUUUUAAGUCAGAUGUGAAAGAUCACGGCUCAACCGUGGUAAGCAUUUGAAACUGGGGGACUUGAGUUAAGGAGAGGAAAGUGGAAUUCCUAGUGUAGCGGUGAAAUGCGUAGAUAUUAGGAGGAAUACCAGUGGCGAAGGCGACUUUCUGGACUUAUACCGACGCUCAGACACGAAAGCGUGGGGAGCAAACAG
RNAcentral lists this ribosomal RNA (397 nucleotides) under uncultured bacterium. RNAcentral describes it as "partial 16S ribosomal RNA". It matches the Rfam family "Bacterial small subunit ribosomal RNA", at positions 360 to 775 of the family's 1533-position model. The record is from RNAcentral.